AAGACUAUAGACCUGCGGAGUACCUGCGGAAGGAUCAUUACAUGGCGGAGGAGGUGGGCACCUAGUAAAAACAAAACCCUAGGUGUGUUGCCUACCACGCUUUCUACCCUUGUCUAUUUGCACCUUUUGUCGUUCCCUCGGUGGGUCUUGAACCUGCCGGCGGCAACUUUCAAAAACCUUUUGUAGUUAGUAUCUAAUUCUUCUGAUCAAAUAUUCAAUCGUUACAACUUUCAACAACGG
This 240-nucleotide unclassified non-coding RNA is filed under the name soil metagenome. RNAcentral describes it as "partial contains 5.8S ribosomal RNA, internal transcribed spacer 2, and large subunit ribosomal RNA". The record is from RNAcentral.